UGGCUUUUGCCUCCAUGUUUAGUCAGGAUGUUGGUUGAUUCCAUCUAUUCGUUACACACAUGGGAUAUAAAGGUUUCUUGAGAGUUGAGAGCACUCUUGUGCUUCUCAUAGUUUUGAAACCACAUUUUCGUCUAAUGUCUUU
Encephalitozoon hellem ATCC 50504 is the source of this 142-nucleotide non-coding RNA. The record is from RefSeq and is a predicted model, not a curated record. NCBI's taxonomy places the organism in Eukaryota, Fungi, Microsporidia, Unikaryonidae.